This 253-nucleotide unclassified non-coding RNA is filed under the name uncultured Streptosporangiales bacterium. Its description in RNAcentral is "contains 16S-23S intergenic spacer region". It matches the Rfam family "Bacterial small subunit ribosomal RNA", at positions 524 to 776 of the family's 1533-position model. The record is from RNAcentral. Lineage: Bacteria; Bacillati; Actinomycetota; Actinomycetes; Streptosporangiales.
UACGUAGGGUCCGAGCGUUGUCCGGAAUUAUUGGGCGUAAAGAGCUCGUAGGUGGCGUGUUGCGUCUGAUGUGAAAGUCCGGAGCUUAACUUCGGUUUUGCAGUGGAUACGGGCAUGCUAGAGGUAGGCAGGGGAGACUGGAAUUCCAGGUGUAGCGGUGAAAUGCGCAGAUAUCAGGAGGAACACCGGUGGCGAAGGCGGGUCUCUGGGCCGUACCUGACGCUGAGGAGCGAAAGCGUGGGGAGCGAACAGG